RNAcentral lists this transfer RNA (66 nucleotides) under Telchinia polis. RNAcentral describes it as "Acraea polis tRNA-Phe". The record is from RNAcentral. Lineage: Eukaryota; Metazoa; Arthropoda; Insecta; Lepidoptera; Nymphalidae.
AUUUAAAUAGCUUAAAUUAAGAGUAUAAUAUUGAAGAUAUUAGGGUGAUUUAUUAGUCUUUAAAUA